This 159-nucleotide ribosomal RNA is filed under the name Phytophthora sp. 1931. Its description in RNAcentral is "partial 28S ribosomal RNA". The record is from RNAcentral. Lineage: Eukaryota; Oomycota; Peronosporomycetes; Peronosporales; Peronosporaceae.
CUGUGGUGGUAUGAGUUGGUGAACCGUAGCUAUGUGAGCUUGGCUUUUGAAUUGGCUUUGCUGUUGCGAAGUAGAGUGGCGGCUUCGGCUGUCGAGGGUCGAUCCAUUUGGGAACUUGUGUAUGCUUCGGCAUGCAUCUCAAUGGACCUGAUAUCAGGC